CCAGGAAAACGAGGAGAAGGAUGAAUCUCAUUGAAGUAAAGAAGAAGAAGAAACGAGAA
This 59-nucleotide non-coding RNA is filed under the name Palpitomonas bilix. The record is from RNAcentral.